CACGCCAGCCCUUGGCUCAUUGAGGAGCUCACCACAGCUGAGCUCACCCUGGAUGCAGCCUCAUCAUCUGUCCUUCGUAAAAUGAAGGAGCCACCUCGGAUCCAGGCGAGGCCUCAGGGGGUAACAGAGGCUGAGGCGUCCAGGAGAGAGAAAAGAGCCCGAAGGUGUCGUCCAGCGGGGUUUUGAGCCCUGGAAAAGGGGAGGCAGAGUCGAGGGGCAACAUCCAUUGGGAUACAGGUUUAAUUAGAGUGGUUUGUCUGGAAAAUUUGGCUUUCUGCGAUAAAAGACCUCUCUAAUGAGAGAGACCAUAAUCAUGAUUGAAAAAACCUCCUGAACCGAAGUGGAUGCUGAUCUGUGAGUUACCAUACGAGUGUUCCUAUGCCAGCGUGUUCAUGCAUAUAAAUCUGUUUACUGAACAUUUUAACCUGCUCUAAACACAGCCUGGAGUUAUCUUAUCUGUCCUGCUGAGGAAAACAAGGAGAUGCAUCCAAACACCCAAACACUCCUGGAUAAGGAGUUCCUUAUCAGCCCUGCUUCCCCCACUGGCCCAGUUAAACCCUCAUCCACUCAUUCAUUUCCCAGCUGUGGCAUUUUAGGAGCACCAACCAACAUUUCCUAUCAGCAUGGGUUUGAUCUUGGGAAGCUGCAAUUCCCGAUGGUUUGUUUGCUUUCUGCAUCCUGCAAAUGCAUCCAUCCCUUCAGCUUUGCCACACCUUUCCCACCUCCAUUAAUUAGCACCUCUUUUCCUACAUUUCUCUCCUGGGUAACUCAUUCUAAACUUCAGGAGAGAAAAGAAAAUAAAAAGAGAAAUUAUCCAAAAGCUGGCAGCAUUUUUGCUUUUUAUAUGUUCCCUCAAGGAAGGAAAUAAAAGGGAUAAGGUUCCAGGACACCCCUGGUUCUGAGCUCCCUGCUCCAAGCCUCAGUUGUGGGAAAGCUCCUGAAAUUCCCUGACCUGUGGGAG
Molecule: long non-coding RNA, 961 nt
Organism: Vidua macroura (Pin-tailed whydah)
Lineage: Eukaryota; Metazoa; Chordata; Aves; Passeriformes; Viduidae
Exons: 3
Source: RefSeq, a predicted model, not a curated record